GGUCGGGAGCCUCAACACUCCACGGCCUCCAUCUGGGGACUUUUCUACCCGGGAAGAAGGUGUGCGGCCAACUCGCUCGGCCACCCCUCGCCGGUGUGGAGGAACAGGCAGGGCUCCAUUUGGAGCUUGGGGAAAGCUAAAAAUGAAGAGCACUACCCCAGGUGGGACUCGAACCCACAAUCCCUGGCUUAGGAGGCCAGUGCCUUAUCCAUUAGGCCACUGGGGCCUGCGGCACGUGCGGCCUGCCUCUCCUCUGAUGUGCAGUGCGACCUUGCUUGGCCGGGCAGGUCGCAGUCGGGCCGGCCCGGAGCUGCGGGAGGCGAAGGGACCGCACCGGGCUGGGCCAUCGCCACGCUCCGGCCCAGCCGCGGGCGCUCCUCGGAGCCUGGGGGCCGCCUUGAAGUCGCCUGGAAAACCUGACCGUAGAUGCGGGAAGACCGAGGGCGGUGGCAUUUCCUGACCAUUUUUGUGUACCUCUAAAGAACUGAUGCAAAAAUCAAGAAUUUUAGGAGAAGGUAGUGCGGGAAGUGAAAGAGAACAGACACGAGGCAGGGACACGGAGUCCGUCGUGAGAACGCACCGAUCCAGCCACAACAGGAUCCCGUGUACUGUGCACACCUGUCACGUUACCAACAGGGUGCGUGGAUGGCAGCCGGGCAGAGUUUUCACUCUAGUAUUUUCUUUAAAACUAGUCUGCAGAAACAGGUCUCCUUCCUCCCCUUACUAGAGCAAGAAGGAAGAAUUUCGCCCAUGUGGCUCCAGUCCACUGCCUUGAGGACUUCUGGCUGUGACUGCUGAGGUUUAAAGGCAGGCAGUAAUCACAGGUCCUUAGGACGAGCUUCUCCGCCUGCCUGAGUUAUGAACCUGCCACUUCCAUCAAGACACGGAACCUCCUGGCACCUGCAAGGCACCCUGUGCCUCCCCAAGUCAAUGAUCUCCUCCCUCAUGCAAAUCCUUCUCUGACUCUACCACCGAGCUACAGCCCCAGCCCCUGUGCAUGUUCUAUUUUUCUCAUCACAAAUGAUUUUACUAGUUUUCAACUUCAUAUAAAUGAAAUUAACUGUAGUCUAUAAUUUUAUGAGGUCUGGCCUCCUUCACUCAACAUUGUCUUUGAAAUUUCGUUUUUAUGAAUGGGCUCUGCUCUCUGUCCCCAGUCCAUUUGCUUCGCUUUAAAAAAAAAAAUAAAAUCUUUAGAGAUUGA
This is a long non-coding RNA of Marmota flaviventris (yellow-bellied marmot), 1201 nucleotides long. RefSeq lists it as uncharacterized. The record is from RefSeq and is a predicted model, not a curated record. Lineage: Eukaryota; Metazoa; Chordata; Mammalia; Rodentia; Sciuridae.